UACGUAGGGUGCGAGCGUUGUCCGGAAUUAUUGGGCGUAAAGAGCUUGUAGGCGGUCUGUCGCGUCUGCUGUGAAAAUCCGGGGCUCAACCCCGGACUUGCAGUGGGUACGGGCAGACUAGAGUGUGGUAGGGGAGACUGGAAUUCCUGGUGUAGCGGUGAAAUGCGCAGAUAUCAGGAGGAACACCGGUGGCGAAGGCGGUUCUCUGGGCAUGUCCUGACGCUGAGGAGCGAAAGGGUGGGGAGCGAACAGG
RNAcentral lists this ribosomal RNA (253 nucleotides) under uncultured bacterium. Its description in RNAcentral is "partial 16S ribosomal RNA". It matches the Rfam family "Bacterial small subunit ribosomal RNA", at positions 524 to 776 of the family's 1533-position model. The record is from RNAcentral.